Molecule: ribosomal RNA, 253 nt
Filed under: uncultured bacterium
Lineage: Bacteria
Description: partial 16S ribosomal RNA
Rfam family: Bacterial small subunit ribosomal RNA
Source: RNAcentral
UACAGAGGUCCCAAGCGUUGUUCGGAUUUACUGGGCGUAAAGGGCGCGUAGGUGGUCGGAUAAGUUUGAUGUGAAAUCUCCGGGCUUAACCCGGAAACUGCAUUGAAUACUAUUUGGCUGGAGGGUUGGAGGGGGGACUGGAAUUCUCGGUGUAGCAGUGAAAUGCGUAGAUAUCGAGAGGAACACCAGUGGCGAAGGCGAGGCCCUGGACAACUACUGACGCUGAGGCACGAAAGCUAGGGGAGCAAACAGG